AGCUUUGCGCAGCGGCGAUAUCGUAAACAAUGAGGGUCUACCGAGUUGCGAUUAUUGCUAGUUGAAAACUAUAACCAAUAUCCCGCCAUGACGACGUGAAAAACCGUCGGCUACGGCAAUUUUUGGAGGUUCGAAAGAAC
Molecule: small nuclear RNA, 140 nt
Organism: Sitodiplosis mosellana (orange wheat blossom midge)
Lineage: Eukaryota; Metazoa; Arthropoda; Insecta; Diptera; Cecidomyiidae
Product: U4 spliceosomal RNA
Exons: 1
Source: RefSeq, a predicted model, not a curated record